This 1449-nucleotide ribosomal RNA is filed under the name uncultured organism. RNAcentral's name for it is "SSU rRNA". It matches the Rfam family "Bacterial small subunit ribosomal RNA". The record is from RNAcentral.
GAACGCUAGCUACAGGCUUAACACAUGCAAGUCGAGGGGCAGCAUUUUAGUUUGCUUGCAAACUGAAGAUGGCGACCGGCGCACGGGUGAGUAACACGUAUCCAACCUGCCGAUAACUCCGGAAUAGCCUUUCGAAAGAAAGAUUAAUACCGGAUAGCAUACGAAUAUCGCAUGAUAUUUUUAUUAAAGAAUUUCGGUUAUCGAUGGGGAUGCGUUCCAUUAGUUUGUUGGCGGGGUAACGGCCCACCAAGACUACGAUGGAUAGGGGUUCUGAGAGGAAGGUCCCCCACAUUGGAACUGAGACACGGUCCAAACUCCUACGGGAGGCAGCAGUGAGGAAUAUUGGUCAAUGGGCGAGAGCCUGAACCAGCCAAGUAGCGUGAAGGAUGAAGGCUCUAUGGGUCGUAAACUUCCUUUAUAUGGGAAUAAAGUUUUCCACGUGUGGAAUUUUGUAUGUACCAUAUGAAUAAGGAUCGGCUAACUCCGUGCCAGCAGCCGCGGUAAUACGGAGGAUCCGAGCGUUAUCCGGAUUUAUUGGGUUUAAAGGGAGCGUAGGUGGAUUGUUAAGUCAGUUGUGAAAGUUUGCGGCUCAACCGUAAAAUUGCAGUUGAAACUGGCAGUCUUGAGUACAGUAGAGGUGGGCGGAAUUCGUGGUGUAGCGGUGAAAUGCUUAGAUAUCACGAAGAACUCCGAUUGCGAAGGCAGCUCACUAGACUGUCACUGACACUGAUGCUCGAAAGUGUGGGUAUCAAACAGGAUUAGAUACCCUGGUAGUCCACACAGUAAACGAUGAAUACUCGCUGUUUGCGAUAUACAGUAAGCGGCCAAGCGAAAGCAUUAAGUAUUCCACCUGGGGAGUACGCCGGCAACGGUGAAACUCAAAGGAAUUGACGGGGGCCCGCACAAGCGGAGGAACAUGUGGUUUAAUUCGAUGAUACGCGAGGAACCUUACCCGGGCUUAAAUUGCAACAGAAUAUAUUGGAAACAGUAUAGCCGUAAGGCUGUUGUGAAGGUGCUGCAUGGUUGUCGUCAGCUCGUGCCGUGAGGUGUCGGCUUAAGUGCCAUAACGAGCGCAACCCUUAUCUUUAGUUACUAACAGGUCAUGCUGAGGACUCUAGAGAGACUGCCGUCGUAAGAUGUGAGGAAGGUGGGGAUGACGUCAAAUCAGCACGGCCCUUACGUCCGGGGCUACACACGUGUUACAAUGGGGGGUACAGAAGGCGGCUACCUGGUGACAGGAUGCUAAUCCCAAAAACCUCUCUCAGUUCGGAUCGAAGUCUGCAACCCGACUUCGUGAAGCUGGAUUCGCUAGUAAUCGCGCAUCAGCCAUGGCGCGGUGAAUACGUUCCCGGGCCUUGUACACACCGCCCGUCAAGCCAUGAAAGCCGGGGGUACCUGAAGUACGUAACCGCAAGGAGCGUCCUAGGGUAAAACUGGUAAUUGGGGCUA